RNAcentral lists this ribosomal RNA (514 nucleotides) under Theodoxus fluviatilis. RNAcentral describes it as "partial 16S ribosomal RNA". It matches the Rfam family "Bacterial large subunit ribosomal RNA", at positions 1828 to 2600 of the family's 2925-position model. The record is from RNAcentral. Lineage: Eukaryota; Metazoa; Mollusca; Gastropoda; Cycloneritida; Neritidae.
GUCUCUUAGAAAUUAUUAAGAGUCAGGCCUGCCCAGUGAUUGCUUUAUUUAACGGCCGCGGUACCCUGACCGUGCAAAGGUAGCAUAAUCAUUUGCCUUUUAAUUGGAGGCUGGUAUGAAUGGUUCGACGAGAGUAAAGCUGUCUCAUACACAUUAACUAGAAACUAAUUUAAAGGUGCAAAAGCCUUUAUAAAACAAAAAGACGAGAAGACCCUAUUGAGCUUUAAUUUUAAUGUGCACUAACUUUAUAUUUAUAUAAUUAUUUGCUCAAUAAAAAUUUUAAUUGGGGCGAUUAAGGAACACAAUGAAGCUUCCUGAUUUUAAUAUUAAAUGUUUAUAGAUUAAAUCGAUCCAGCAAUGCUGAUCAACAAAAUGAGUUACCAUAGGGAUAACAGCAUAAUUCUUUUUCAGAGCUCAUAUCGAAAAAAGAGAUUGUGACCUCGAUGUUGGACUAGGGUAACGGGAAGGUGUAGCAGCUUUCUUGCUUGGUCUGUUCGACCAAUAAUUCCCUACA